Ictalurus punctatus (channel catfish) is the source of this 591-nucleotide long non-coding RNA. NCBI's taxonomy places the organism in Eukaryota, Metazoa, Chordata, Actinopteri, Siluriformes, Ictaluridae. The record is from Ensembl.
CUACACUCGGGUUAGUACACUCGGGUUAGUACACUCGGGUUAGUACACUCGGUUACUACACUCGGAUUAGUACACUCGGAUUACUACACUCGGGUUAGUACACUCGGGUUAGUACACUCGGGUUAGUACACUCGGAUUACUACACUCGGAUUACUACACUCGGAUUACUACACUCGGAUUACUACACCGGGUUACUACACUCGGGUUACUACACUCGGAUUACUACACUCGGAUUACUACACUCAGGUUAGUACACUCAGAUUACUACACUCAGAUUACUACACUCAGAUUAAUACACUCAGAUUACUACACUCGGGUUACUACACUCAGAUUACUACACUCAGAUUACUACACUCAGAUUCUACACUCGGGUUACUACACUCGGGUUAGUUCACUCGGGUUAGUUCACUCGGGUUAGUACACUCAGAUUACUACACUUUGUGAAUUAAAGCUGUAUUGACUUGUCUUAGUGCUAAACAAUAUACAUCUGUAACUGGUAUGCUACAAAUGAUCAAUAAUAAUCAUCUGAUUCAAAACAAAUGGCACCAAAAUGGCAUUGGAUUUCUUAUUAAUGUACAUAAAUCCUGCAUG